UCCCACACAUUGCCUUUGCCCCGAUUGCC
This 29-nucleotide non-coding RNA is filed under the name Rattus norvegicus (Norway rat). The record is from RNAcentral. Lineage: Eukaryota; Metazoa; Chordata; Mammalia; Rodentia; Muridae.